AACGAACGCUGGCGGCAUGCCUAACACAUGCAAGUCGAACGAUACCUUCGGGUCUAGUGGCGCACGGGUUCGUAACGCGUGGGAACCUGCCCUUAGGUUCGGAAUAACUCCCUGAAAUGGGUGCUAAUACCGGAUAAUGUCACCGGACCAAAGUUUUAUCGCCUUGGGAUGGGCCCGCGUUGGUUUAGCUGGUUGGUAGGGUAAAAGCCGGCGAAGGCGAGGAUCCUUAGCUAGUCGGAGAGGAGGAACAGCCACACUGGGACUGAGACACGGCCCAGACUCGUACGAGAGGCAGGAGUGAGGAAUAUUGGACCAGGGGCGAGAGGCUGAUACAGCGCUGGCGCGUGAGUGAUGAAGGGGUUAGAGUUGUAAAGCUCUUUUGAACGGGAUGAUAGUGACGGUACCGGGAGAAUAAGCGCCGGCUAACUACGUG
This 433-nucleotide ribosomal RNA is filed under the name uncultured bacterium. RNAcentral's name for it is "partial 16S ribosomal RNA". It matches the Rfam family "Bacterial small subunit ribosomal RNA", at positions 29 to 507 of the family's 1533-position model. The record is from RNAcentral.